Molecule: ribosomal RNA, 253 nt
Filed under: uncultured bacterium
Lineage: Bacteria
Description: partial 16S ribosomal RNA
Rfam family: Bacterial small subunit ribosomal RNA
Source: RNAcentral
UACAGGGGGUGCAAACGUUGCUCGGAAUCAUUGGGCGUAAAGCGCACGUAGGCGGUCUGUUAUGUCGGAUGUGAAAGCCCUUGGCUUAACUGAGGAAGUGCAUCCGAAACUGGCAGGCUAGAGUACUAAAGAGGGUCGCGGAAUUCCCGGUGUAGAGGUGAAAUUCGUAGAUAUCGGGAGGAACACCGGUGGCGAAGGCGGCUUUCUGGUCUGCUCUUGACGCUGAGGCGCGAAAGCUAGGGUAGCAAACGGG